UGACUGAAUUCAGCACCAUCUAUUGUUAUGUUGGAUCGUUCACAGAGCACGCUGCAAAGCACCGUGCAGUGAGUUAGAUCAAGGUGAUAACACUUCAGAGAGGUGGGUGAUGGCUGCUGUUGUACCAACAAGGAGGGCAGCCCUGCUAGGCAGCCUGACAGCACAGCUGCGGUGUUCCCACACCUGUGUGUAGCAGCAUGGGUUAGAGUGGCACUUGUUAUGGGGCCAGGCAGUUUGAUGUUAGGAAAUGGCUAGUGCGUGGAUGGACGGGUUUUUCUCAUGGUCCUUUUCUUCCUUUUUAUAAUAGAAACACUAGAUGAGUAGUGGAGGAACUGUUUGGACAUAUGUAUUUAACUGGGAGGAAAGAGCUGUGACGCUAACCACAAACUGACGGUUUCCUGCUGCAAAAAAACAACUCAGCAAUAUGAAGUAAAAACAAUGAGGGGAAAAGAAGACUUCAGUCUUUGACUAAAGCUGAGAGUUGGAGAAUUAGAGCCAAAGAUUUCACAGGAAUCUACUAUUAAGAUGUGGAAGAGAAGCUAUCUACAAAGUGAAGGCUCUGAACGCCGUGCUCCUGUGAUCUGGUGCUGUUCCUGAGGGCUUCUGAAAAAUUAUCUUUAAAGGCAUGUUGAUGUGACUCUGUAAGUGUAUUGGUGAGUAAUUUCACCUGCAUUCAUAAUGAACAAGCCUCGUUAAUACAGUUACUCAUGUGCCUAAAUGUCAGUUAAGGGAGCUUUGAAAUGUGGAGCUGAGAGGUUCUGCCCGUGGGUCUCACAGGCUGUGAUGCAUCCUGUGGUUCAGUGCCCCUGAGCUGGCGCUUCCAGGGCAGGGCAGGAGCUGACCGUGGCUGGUGGAAAGCAUGAAGUGCUCGCUUUGCCUGCUGCUGAUCAGUGCACGGCAUCCUGUUUUGGACUUGCUGAGAAAUGAGCUGAGAACCAGGUCUGGUGGGCUUUAUUACUGACUGGUGCUAUGCAACGUGAUUAAUGUUGGCUUGCUGGGAAGAAGCAGUUACUGGCAACUGUGUCACCUAUUUCUGCUGGGUUUUGAAGAGACCUUUUCCUGGUAAAGAUUUUUUUUUUCGUUACCUUUAUCAAAACAGGAUAUAAAACGAGAGUAUAAUUCGCUGCUAGAGAGUCCUCAUUUACCUCGAUACUAGGGAAAUAUCUCUUCUUUCCAUAAAUCAUUACAUUUAUAGGUGUACAACAGG
This is a long non-coding RNA of Gallus gallus (chicken), 1207 nucleotides long. The record is from Ensembl. NCBI's taxonomy places the organism in Eukaryota, Metazoa, Chordata, Aves, Galliformes, Phasianidae.